UAAAAGCUUCUCUGAGCCCUUUGUCGGUCCUGCAUAGGGUAAGGGAUUCUAGAAAAGAAAGAAGAAAAGUGGGCUGAGAGACAAGCUGGUGUCACUCUCUCUUCUAGGAACCAGGGAGACAGCCGGCAGGAGUGCCCCGUGUGGCAGAGGAGAGGGCUCAUGGAAAGGUCCAAACGUCUCCAGUUUGAGAUCUCAGCAUCUCCAGCAUUGAGAGCGAUCUCUGGGAGGCAGAAGAUGACUAAGGUUAUUCUGCCUGGAGACCUAUGACACUUGCCAAUUUCUGUUUCCGUUGGGUAUGCUUUCUAGAGAAGUUAAUUAGAGGAAGUUUACUUUCACAGAGGAGCCCGAAGGUACCCAGAGUUCUCCCUCAACUCCAAGAGGUCCAGAGGCGCCAGAUCACCGGGGCCCAAAACCUCCACCUGCUCCUCUGAUGCUGGUCCUGACAGAGACCCAGGUAUGAAGGCCUUCUUGAAGAUCCUCUGUAGGGGAGGUCUUGUGGCUACAAACUCCCUUAGCUUUGGCUUAUCUGGGAAAGUUGUUAUUUCUCCAUCAUAUCUGAAGUCUAUUUUCACUGAAUAGAGUAUUCUUGGCUGAAAGAUUUUGUCCUUCAAAGAUUUGAAUAUGUCAUUCCAGUCUUUCCUAGCCUGUAAGUUUUCUGCAGAGAAAUCUGGUGAAAGUCUGAUAGAGGUUUCUUUGUAGGUUAUGUUCUUCUGCCUUGCUGCCCUUAGUAUUUUUUCUUUGUCAUUGACUUUUGCCAGUUUCACUACUAUAUGCCUUGCAGUAGGUCUUUUUACACUGGCAUAUUUAGAAGAUCUGAUAGGCUCUUUCAUGUGGAUUUCCAUCUCCUUCCCCAGGUUUGGGAAGUUCUCUGCUAUUAUUACUUUGAACAAGCUUUCUGUUCCAUUCUCCUUCUUUUCUCUCUCUUGAAUAUCUAUAAUUCUUAUGUUGCAUUUCCUAAUUGAGUUGGAUAUUUCUCAGAGAUUUUCUUCAUUUCUUUUUAGUCUUAGUUCUCUCUACUCCUCUGUCUGGAGCAUUUCAAUAUGUCUAUCCUUGAUUAUGCUGAUUCACUCCACUAUGAUGUUGCUCAAACAUUCAGAGAAUCCAAAUUUUGUUUUAUCUCAUCGAUUGUGUCUUUCAUCUCUAAUAUUUCUGAUUGGUUCUUCUUUAUAGUUUCAAUCUCUUUUGUGAAGUAGCUCCUGAACUCGUUGAAUUGUUUCUCUACAUUUUUUUGUAACUCAUUGAGUUUUUUGAUGAUAGCUAUUUUGAAGUCUCUGUCAUUUAGAUUACAUAUUUCUGUGUCUUCAGGACUGAUUUCUGGGUACUUGUCAUUUUCUCUCUGGUCUGGAGAUGUAAUAUAAUUUUUGAUUCUGCUAGAGGGCGUGGCAUUGUUCUUUCACAUCAUGGUAUUAUUUGGUCACACUUACUGCUUACCACUGGGUGGGGGUCAAGAACUGCAUUUUCUGAGCCCUCUGACUUCUGCCAGGAUCCCAGGUGCUGGAGCUGGUGCUAGGUGGGGAGGGGGAGGGGUGCUUUCUUCAUUGUUCUCUUGGGGUUUUCUCACUCUGCCCUCGAUAUCUGCUCUCCUGGGGUAUUGGCUUGAUGAAGUCACCCCUGUGAUAGCUUUCACCUGGGUAGGGAGCUUUCCCCUAGGCUGCAAAGGACCUUGGGGAACUUUGAUGUUCCUGCAAAUGGGCAUCCCCUCCCCUUUUCCUUCCCUCUUGGAGACUGCACAGUCCCAGAUCACAGUCUUUUGGGGAGGGAGCGAAGUUUUCUCUUACCCCAUUCCACCUCCUCCAAGGGGGACUCCAGCCUCUCCACCCUCCCAUGUAUGAUUGUGUUGGUCUUUUGUGUUGUGUGGAUGUCCUCUGCUGGAGGAUAAAUGUCUUUUUCACUGUGUCAUGGAGGGAAGAGAUCACUGGGAGAGCUCACUUAACCAUGAUGCUGAUGUCACUCUCUGGGUAAAAUUUUUAAAGUAAUGUUCUGUAAAGUCUGUAACACAUAUAGAAGUAACUGUGUAUGAAUACAACCCAAAAAAUCUAAUGGUACUGCCUAAAUAUUUUUCAUUUGUCUUAUUAAUAAAUGUUAAUACAAAUUUGGGAAGAUUUUAUUAUUUCAAAUAACUGAAAGUAUUUAAUAAUGUUAAUUUCAUAUUUUCUUCAUUGUUG
RNAcentral lists this long non-coding RNA (2165 nucleotides) under Equus caballus (horse). Its description in RNAcentral is "lncRNA (ENSECAG00000057114.1)". The record is from RNAcentral. Lineage: Eukaryota; Metazoa; Chordata; Mammalia; Perissodactyla; Equidae.